Molecule: ribosomal RNA, 455 nt
Filed under: uncultured bacterium
Lineage: Bacteria
Description: bacterial SSU rRNA
Rfam family: Bacterial small subunit ribosomal RNA
Source: RNAcentral
UACGGAAGGCAGCAGUGGGGAAUAUUGCACAAUGGGCGCAAGCCUGAUGCAGCCAUGCCGCGUGUAUGAAGAAGGCCUUCGGGUUGUAAAGUACUUUCAGUCGUGAGGAAGGUGUUAAGGUUAAUAACCUUAGCAAUUGACGUUAGCGACAGAAGAAGCACCGGCUAACUCCGUGCCAGCAGCCGCGGUAAUACGGAGGGUGCGAGCGUUAAUCGGAAUUACUGGGCGUAAAGGGCACGCAGGCGGUUAAUUAAGUUGGAUGUGAAAUCCCCGGGCUUAACCUGGGAAUGGCAUUCAAGACUGGUUAGCUAGAGUCUUGUAGAGGGGGUAGAAUUCCAUGUGUAGCGGUGAAAUGCGUAGAGAUGUGGAGGAAUACCGGUGGCGAAGGCGGCCCCGUGGACAAAGACUGACGCUCAUGUGCGAAAGCGUGGGGAGCAAACGAGGGAUUAGAUACC